This 84-nucleotide non-coding RNA is filed under the name Eutreptiella gymnastica. Lineage: Eukaryota; Euglenozoa; Euglenophyceae; Eutreptiales; Eutreptiaceae. The record is from RNAcentral.
GCAGCGGAGGUUUGGGCCCCGUUGCAGCAGGGGGCGGGGGGUUCGGGAAAGAGUGGUAGGUGGACCGCCUCAGCCGGACCACAG